Molecule: transfer RNA, 74 nt
Filed under: Neolewinella antarctica
Lineage: Bacteria; Pseudomonadati; Bacteroidota; Saprospiria; Saprospirales; Lewinellaceae
Description: Lewinella antarctica tRNA-Glu
Rfam family: tRNA
About the family: Transfer RNA (tRNA) molecules are approximately 80 nucleotides in length. Their secondary structure includes four short double-helical elements and three loops (D, anti-codon, and T loops). Further hydrogen bonds mediate the characteristic L-shaped molecular structure. tRNAs have two regions of fundamental functional importance: the anti-codon, which is responsible for specific mRNA codon recognition, and the 3' end, to which the tRNAs corresponding amino acid is attached (by aminoacyl-tRNA synthetases). tRNAs cope with the degeneracy of the genetic code in two manners: having more than one tRNA (with a specific anti-codon) for a particular amino acid; and 'wobble' base-pairing, i.e. permitting non-standard base-pairing at the 3rd anti-codon position.
Source: RNAcentral
GCUCCGGCAACCAAACUGGUUAAGGCAGCACACUUUCACUGUGGCAAUUGCGAGUUCAAUUCUCGUCCGGAGUA